Long non-coding RNA from Neltuma alba, 834 nucleotides. RefSeq lists it as uncharacterized. The transcript is spliced from 2 exons. Lineage: Eukaryota; Viridiplantae; Streptophyta; Magnoliopsida; Fabales; Fabaceae. The record is from RefSeq and is a predicted model, not a curated record.
UCACACAGGAAUAGGAGGCCCCUGUCCUUUCACUCCAGUGUGGCAGAGGAAUAAAGAGAGAAUUUCUUCUCCAACACUUGAUUUCUCCUUUUCAACAUUUUGCUGGAAUUAUAGGCAGAGAUGAACAGAGAAAGAAGUGACAAGGGCCACUCAGGAAGCUCAUAACGUCUAUUAUUGUGCAUGAUCCCUGGGAUAAGGGGACAUUGGUGGAGACAAGAAAGGACAAGCAGGACACAAAAUAAAGAUAACAGGAAGAAGAGGAUGCUGUAAAUUUAUGAGUACCACAGAGCAAGCAGCACGUGUCCUGUAAAAGUAAUCUUCUGUGAUUGACUUUGUUUGAUAUCGAUGAGUGUGAAGGAAUGGGCUAUCAUGUUUCAGAAUCACCUGAUACCACUCUCCCAAGCAGUCCCCUACUGGCCUAGUCUAUUCCUACAACGUCUGUUUUCUUCAUUUCAAUCCUGUAAUACUAGUGAACAUCAACUGCUUCCAUUAUUUCAGGCUGUUUGGACUAAAGAAAUCACAGUUUAUGGGUUUGGAUUCACGUCUUGGGGUGCUGCAUCAGAUAGUCAUGACAGUGAAACAGUUCCUUAGUAUUAUACUAUUUUAGAACCCACGAACACUUCUCCUGAUCAUGGUCCACAUAGAAAUUAGGAAGUAUUAUUGUGUUAUAGAAUAUGUAAAUGCUAGUACAGAUUGAAAUCAUAUGGAAGCUUGUAUUCAUAGAUAACACUUGUAACAAUGAUAUUUUCACAAGGUAUUCCAUAAUUGACGUGACAUGGAAUAUUUGAGAGAAAUUCCAAGUUUAAUAUCAAGCAAAACGUCUUUUCACAGAAA